RNAcentral lists this transfer RNA (86 nucleotides) under Felis catus (domestic cat). It matches the Rfam family "tRNA". From Rfam's summary of the family: Transfer RNA (tRNA) molecules are approximately 80 nucleotides in length. Lineage: Eukaryota; Metazoa; Chordata; Mammalia; Carnivora; Felidae. The record is from Rfam by way of RNAcentral.
GCCUGGGUGGCUUGGCUGUUAAGCAUCUGACUUCGGUUCAGGUCAUGAUCCCACACAGUUUGUGGGUUCAAGUCCCACUUCGAGUC